GCCUGAAAUCACGUGGUUGAUGAGCCGUAGUGAGGA
RNAcentral lists this small RNA (36 nucleotides) under Bombyx mori (domestic silkworm). RNAcentral's name for it is "ovarian small RNA-16729". Lineage: Eukaryota; Metazoa; Arthropoda; Insecta; Lepidoptera; Bombycidae. The record is from RNAcentral.